This is a long non-coding RNA of Equus quagga, 2617 nucleotides long. RefSeq lists it as uncharacterized. The transcript is spliced from 6 exons. The record is from RefSeq and is a predicted model, not a curated record. Lineage: Eukaryota; Metazoa; Chordata; Mammalia; Perissodactyla; Equidae.
ACUCAGCAGGGUGCGGAGGCGGGGAUGGAGGAGGAGUAAAGGCUGUUUACAAACUUGAAGUACACACGCAGCCCUACCCUUAAGGUUCUGGAAUUGGGGGUUACCAUCUCGGGAUCUGGGGACGCUCUGAUGCCCCGGGUUCUGAAGCCUGACUUAUGAGCACCGGGGCCAUAACCUUUCGAAGCACAGGAUUCCUGCGCUCUGGCCCUAGAUCUUGGGGCAGCGAUGACUCACUGCAACAGCCCCUGCUCCUUCGCCAAACUGCCGUCUCCGCCCACCCCCAAACCAUGUCCACAGAGCGCUGCAGCUCCGGGCGCUUUGCUGGGGGCUAAAGGGUCUCAUCCCCCAUCCCUGUAUCCCAGCAGGCUAAACCUUCCCCCGCGCCCAGUCUUCAAGUUUGCCUCGCUCCCCACCGGACCUUCCCAUUGAGCAGCCGAGAUAGACGCGACAUCUAGACGGGGUACUCUGGAUCCACGAGCAGCGCGCGGACAAGGCAGCAGAGCGUCCGGGCAAAGUCCUGGAGGUGUGUUCAUCCAGCAAGUCUCGCCUCUGUUGAGAUUUAACUCUGUGCCUCGUGCUGAGCUAGAAGCUGAGGACCAGGGAAGAGCAGGACCCUCAUGGAACUUGUGGCUGGCAUGUUGUCGAGAGCUGGAACAUGCCACAACUUUGUAACAUUGCUCUUCUACAUGGAUUUCCGUACACAGGGUCUCUAGGAGUCGGAACCAACUUGACAGCACUAACCACAAAAGCAUGGAUUUCUAUAUUCUAUCAUUCUUCUCAAGUAAAGCUUGGAUGUGCUCCUUUCCCUUUGAACACUGAGGGCUCCGUCUCCAAGUUCCGUUGCUAGAAGGCAUAUUAUGAAACGGGAUGUAUCGUCAGAGACGCAGGGUUGCUGUGUUUCACAUCUCUAGGCAGCACCAUUGGAUAUCAUUGUCUACGUGGAUAGUGCCCCUGGAACUGGGCAGUACACAGCCUGCACAGCCCCAUUCAGUGACCCCAUUUCAACAAUAUCUACUGGGAAAACUUGCAUUUUGAAAGAAGAUUCCAAUCAAGGAUGCGUCUUGACCUCAUUAGAAUUUUCACAUGGAAGGAAUUCCACAUGGAAAGCCCAUUCUGGAGUUCUAUAAAGAAGGCAACUCGAGAAAGAAAAUCACUUCUAACAUCAUUUGCUGCUUUCCAAAAAUAUGAAUUCUUAUGAAUCAGAUGUGUGGCACAAUUGUGGCACACCACACAAUUUACCACUUCAAGGGGGUCCCUGAAGUUCCACUUUCCUCCUGGAUAUGCCAUGAAGUAGGCAAGAUAAACUAAAUGCGUCAAAGAAUUCACCUAUGGAAAUCUUUGCAAGAAAUAAUCCAUCAACCUGUGCGAUAGUCAGGCUCUUAAAGCCAGGGUGACUCGCUGCAUACAAAACCACAACUAAUGUUGAAUUCAAAUCAGCCUAAUACCAGGUACUCUCAAACAAUGAAAGAAAUGGAAGAUAAGGAGAAUUUGAUUCAGAAUUAACUGAGGAAAUAGAUGUUCUCGUAUUAAGAACUGUUCCUCGUUAUCACCAUCAAAAUAUUCUUGUCAUCAAGGAAGAUGACACAGGAGCCUGAAUAGGAUUGAUAUAUGAAGCUUUAAAGCAACAUUUGCCUUGAUUUUUAGUUUAAGGUCACUAUGCCUCUUUCUGCUGCAAAGAUUAGUUUCUAGAGGGAACUUAUUCAUCAAUGUCCAGUACCAAUUACAUUGCCAGUGUAACCCCCAUGGAGAAGAAGAAAGCUCCUAUCUGAAAUGAUAAGGUGGCCUACUGAGGCAAAAGGGACUCAGAGACAGACAAACCUGGAUUGAAAUCCUUGCUCCACCACUUUCUAGCCGUGUGUCUUUGGCAGGUUGAGAAACUUCUUGGAGCCUGGAGCCUGGAGCCUGAGCUUCCUCAUUUAUAAUGGGAAUAAUAACCAGUACUCUGAAGAUGUACCGUAAAAAUGAGAGGUAACAUGUAAUAUGCCUAGGACACAGCUUGAUAAGAGAAGGCAUUCCACAGACAAUAACCAUGAUAAUUGAGGGGCAUUCGAGCGAAUUGGUUUUCUUGAGCUGAAUCACAAACGCCACCAUUCCCUCAAGACACGGGUCUGUUAAAAGUGAGUUUAUGAACCUGCAAAGCUGUGCAUUCUUUUACAGACACCCCUGAGACUCAGCCAAAAAUAGGCUGCCACUUUCAAGAAUCUCCACUGUAGUACAAAGCCUUCCUUAGAGUUUAGUAGCAGGCAUUGUUCUAAGCAGGAAUUUUCAACAUUCUUAUUGCCCAAAACCCCAUGACACUGUGUUUCAAGACUCUUGUAUAUCAAACAGAUAAUACUUAUUAAAUAAUAAACUUAUUUUCCCACUCUUUAUUACUUUAAGGCAUAAAUAAUUUUCUCACAUAGGUUUUGAAUUGACAUCAUUCAUUCAUCAAUAAGUAUCUGUGGACUACAAUGUGUUACAUGCUGGGAUUACAGUGCUGGCCAGGACUUGAUCCUUGCUCACAGUUUGAUGAGGAGACACACAAGUAAAGGACUGAAGAAUGGCGAGAGAUAGUCAAGGAAGAAGACAUAGGAAGAAUGCUUUGGGUAAAGGGAACAACACAUGCAAGGCUUCAAGG